Molecule: ribosomal RNA, 253 nt
Filed under: uncultured bacterium
Lineage: Bacteria
Description: partial 16S ribosomal RNA
Rfam family: Bacterial small subunit ribosomal RNA
Source: RNAcentral
UACAGAGGGGGCAAGCGUUGUUCGGAAUUACUGGGCGUAAAGCGCGCGUAGGCGGCCUUCUAAGUCGAACGUGAAAUCCCCGGGCUCAACCCGGGAACUGCGUCCGAUACUGGAAGGCUUGAAUCCGGGAGAGGGAUGUGGAAUUCCAGGUGUAGCGGUGAAAUGCGUAGAUAUCUGGAGGAACACCGGUGGCGAAGGCGACAUCCUGGACCGGUAUUGACGCUGAGGCGCGAAAGCUAGGGGAGCAAACGGG